CAGGAGGUGCCACCUUCUAAGUGAUAUCACUUGGAUACUGAAAUGUCUCCAUGAACUGGAAGAAUAUAUGCUUCAGUGUGCUCCAAAUAACCCUGUGAUUUUGGAUGAUUGAUUAUGGGAAUGCUGCUUUUACUGUACAUCCAAGAGAAUUCAAGAAGCAUAGAUAUGUUAUAUAAUUUUCCUCAAUCACUCAGCAGUUAGUUGAAAAUGAGUUUUGACUUCAGUCCAUCUAUAUUCAGAAAUCUGGGGCUCUGUCACCACUAAGAUGAGAAAACUAAAGCAGAGUGGUUAGUGACCUGCACGAGGCCAUAUAAUGAGUUAAAGGAAGACCUGAGAUUUAAGUUCAAAAUGAUCUGCCUCUAGAGCCAAUGUUCUUAAUCACUCAGAGACACAUGAGGACACCAGUGGAGAGAGGUUUUGAGAAGUCCUCCAGAACUAAAAACUGUAACAGGGAGACAGAGAAGGCCAUUGUAUACAUACCUUUAAGAACCGGAUGUAGCUUACCUCUAAAAGGAAAA
Cebus imitator (Panamanian white-faced capuchin) is the source of this 518-nucleotide long non-coding RNA. RefSeq lists it as uncharacterized. The transcript has 4 exons. Lineage: Eukaryota; Metazoa; Chordata; Mammalia; Primates; Cebidae. The record is from RefSeq and is a predicted model, not a curated record.